UGGAGGAAAGUAGGGGAUCGCAAGACCUUGCGCUUUUGGAGUGGCCGAUGCCUGAUUAGCUAGUUGGUAGGGUAAUGGCUUACCAAGGCGACGAUCAGUAGUUGGUCUGAGAGGACGACCAGCCACACUGGGACUGAGACACGGCCCAGACUCCUACGGGAGGCAGCAGUGGGGAAUUUUUGACAAUGGGCGAAAGCCUGAUCCAGCAAUGCCGCGUGAGUGAAGAAGGCCUUCGGGUUGUAAAGCUCUUUCAGUCGAGAAGAAAAGGUCGUGACUAAUAAUCACAACUCAUGACGGUAUCGACAGAAGAAGCACCGGCUAACUACGUGCCAGCAGCCGCGGUAAUACGUAGGGUGCGAGCGUUAAUCGGAAUUACUGGGCGUAAAGGGUGCGCAGGCGGCUUUGUAAGUCAGACGUGA
This 419-nucleotide ribosomal RNA is filed under the name uncultured ammonia-oxidizing beta proteobacterium. Its description in RNAcentral is "bacterial SSU rRNA". It matches the Rfam family "Bacterial small subunit ribosomal RNA", at positions 197 to 597 of the family's 1533-position model. The record is from RNAcentral. Lineage: Bacteria; Pseudomonadati; Pseudomonadota; Betaproteobacteria.